AGUGAACGCUGGCGGUAGGCCUAACACAUGCAAGUCGAACGGCAGCACAGUAAGAGCUUGCUCUUACGGGUGGCGAGUGGCGGACGGGUGAGGAAUACAUCGGAAUCUACUUUUUCGUGGGGGUUAAGGUAGGGAAACUUACGCUAAUACCGCAUACGACCUACGGGUGAAAGCAGUGGAUCUUCGGACCUUGCGCGAAUGAAUGCGCCGAUGUCGGAGUAGCUAGUUGGGGGGGUAAACGCCCACCAAGGCGACGAUCCGUAGCUGGUCUGAGAGGAUGGUCGGCCGCACUGGAAGUGAGCCGCCGUCCAUACUCCUGCGGUAGGCAGCAGUGGGGAAUAUUGGACAAAGGGCGCAAGCCUUAUCCAGCCGUACCGCGUGGGUUAAGAAGGCCUUCGGGUUGUAAAGCCCUUUUGUUGGGAAAGAAAAGCAGCAGGUUAAUACCCCGCUGUUCUGACGGUACCCAAAGAAUAAGCACCGGCUAACUUCGUG
This 492-nucleotide ribosomal RNA is filed under the name uncultured bacterium. RNAcentral's name for it is "partial 16S ribosomal RNA". It matches the Rfam family "Bacterial small subunit ribosomal RNA", at positions 29 to 507 of the family's 1533-position model. The record is from RNAcentral.